This is a non-coding RNA of Pelobates cultripes (western spadefoot toad), 64 nucleotides long. The record is from the annotation of a GenBank genome assembly. NCBI's taxonomy places the organism in Eukaryota, Metazoa, Chordata, Amphibia, Anura, Pelobatidae.
GUGUUAAUGCUAAUCGUGAUAGGGGUUUUAAAUUUAACAGACUCCUACAUGUUAGCAUUAAUAU